Molecule: long non-coding RNA, 730 nt
Filed under: Setaria italica (foxtail millet)
Lineage: Eukaryota; Viridiplantae; Streptophyta; Magnoliopsida; Poales; Poaceae
Description: long non-coding RNA (SITA_LNC007199)
Source: RNAcentral
UCGUCUCGUCGCCGACGCCGAGUAUUCGCCAAAUGCCCGACGAACCAAGCCACCGCACGCCGGUGAGCCGUGCAUCCGCGUCUUCUUGGAUCCGGGGAGCCGGGAGACCUGGAGCCGCUGAGCCUGCGUGCGCCAUAUCCGGCGGCAAGCUCCCUCCCUCUCUCCGUGAGUUUCAGUCUUGCAUCCUUCCUCUUUACGGAGUACUUGUAAUUGGAUUCAGAAGUCAGGACUAGUCAACCGUCGUAUGCAUGGUUUACAUGCCAUUGGCUACGGAUGUUUUGUUUGUUAUUAUCUUACGUGAUGAAUUGUUACGGGUUAAAUUUAUCUAUACCCAUUAUGCAUGCAAGGUGUUCGGGUUUUGCCUAGGCGGGACAUCGACCCAUGUUCGCUUACCCCUUUGGUUGGGUUUUGAACCUGCUUUUACUUUUGCAUAAGUCAAAAGCCAACCAAAGAACCAAAAAGUUCUAUCUGCUUUUGCCCAAAAGCUGCUUUUGGGCUAGUACAAAUGCAAAAGCACCAUCCCCUGCUUUCAAGUACUUUUGGGAUAAAAAAUUACCCACUUGCCACUCUUUAUCAAAGUAACGGUUCGUUUUUUUUCCCGAUCUAUUUCUUCUGCAAGUCAUCCGUCACAUCCGUCCGCCUCCCACAUUCGAGCGCCGCCCCCGGCGGACCGUCUCCCUCCACUCCCGGUCGUCGGCCGCCGCCCCUUCGCCGGCCCCGGUCACCCGCC